UGCUUUAAGUGCUACGAGGCGGUAUAUAAGCAGCAGGCUUUGCUCUUUUUUUGGUAAGGAGACAAAACUUGUUUUUGCGGCAAACUGUUCUAUUGAAAAGUUCCCAGAGAACGUACAUUUUUACAGUGUCCUGGGGCAGCUUGAAGAUUUUCCAUUCCACGUCCACCUUUUUUCCCCCUCCAGAUGGAUGAUUCAGGGUAUCAGAGCUGCCAGAUGGGUGAGGAGAAGAUCUAGCUGAGUUGAGAUAUCUCAACGCUCACAGCUAUUUUCAGUUUUGAGAGCCACGGGUGCUUGUGUAUGCAUGGGUGCGUCUUCCUGUUCUGCAGUUUUUCCAGGAAAAACAGCUGUAGCUGACAGAGGAGAAAUAAACUUUUGCUUUCCUUGAUUUGUACAGCAUUCUGAUUACAAAUGGAAAGGAAAAACUAGCUGCGGUAUUUCCAGACAGACUUUGCUUACUGAAAAACGACCAAGCUGCUUUGAAGAGAGGAUACCAUGAGUCAGACAUAUUCGGUUGAGGCAGAGCCAAGACCCG
Molecule: non-coding RNA, 532 nt
Organism: Pogona vitticeps (central bearded dragon)
Lineage: Eukaryota; Metazoa; Chordata; Lepidosauria; Squamata; Agamidae
Source: RefSeq, a predicted model, not a curated record